GCUUUUGAAAACUAUGUUGCAGCCUGGUGGAGGAGGGUGCUAUACUUGGUACAGGCCAGUUGAUCCACUGAACUUCUCCUACAGACUCUUCCUGGCAGAGCCUGAAUAUAGUCUUUUGAUUAUCCUCAGUAAGCCAAGAACAUCAGCAUGAUUCUUUUGUCUCUCCUUAUUCUUCUCUUCUAUAUCAUUCAAUUUCCAUUUGCUCUCAUAUUUUGGAAAAUGUGCUUUAGAGGCCUGGGGAGGACAUCUCAUCUUCAAGCAGAUUGCUGGCCUUUUAUCAAUUUUACAUAUCACGAUUCUAGGUAAGUUUUCCUUU
Long non-coding RNA from Sapajus apella (tufted capuchin), 316 nucleotides. RefSeq lists it as uncharacterized. NCBI's taxonomy places the organism in Eukaryota, Metazoa, Chordata, Mammalia, Primates, Cebidae. The transcript has 3 exons. The record is from RefSeq and is a predicted model, not a curated record.